GGACUCCAGUGGACUUUCCAGAGCGCCCGGAGGAAGCUGGAACGCUGGCCGGGCUGAGCUGCACUACCUUCGCAAUUCAAAUGAGAGACGCUGUGUCAGCCUUUGACAGUUGUGUGUGUGCAGGAGAGGCAGAGAGAAGAAACUCCAAGCUCUGUCAGGCAGAACGAGAGUCCUGAUUCUCUCUCAGGCUUGUGGGAUAUACAGCAGUGACACAGUCCUGUGGUGCCACAGAGCCCACAGAUCCAGAAUCCAAUGGUUUGAUGGCCCCAAGACAGGGCAGUGGGGGACUUGUAGGUCCUCCAGCAGGCGUGCCUCUCCCCUUCCUCCUACUCCUCCUCCUUUGUGGCCAGACACUACAUGCCCAGGGUCAAGGGUCAAUCCACAGAUACCACAGGAGCCAACCCCUCUCCAGAGAUGGCAGAUGACAGGGAUUCUCCUCCAGAAAAGAAGUCUGCCGUGGCUGAGCUUUUUGGGGAGUUGUUCACGACCCAGGAGCAGGGAACCAAGUCAAAGGUCAAGGUCAUGGAG
RNAcentral lists this long non-coding RNA (528 nucleotides) under Salmo salar (Atlantic salmon). RNAcentral describes it as "lncRNA (ENSSSAG00000083827.1)". Lineage: Eukaryota; Metazoa; Chordata; Actinopteri; Salmoniformes; Salmonidae. The record is from RNAcentral.